Lotus japonicus is the source of this 1520-nucleotide long non-coding RNA. RefSeq lists it as uncharacterized. The transcript has 3 exons. The record is from RefSeq and is a predicted model, not a curated record. Lineage: Eukaryota; Viridiplantae; Streptophyta; Magnoliopsida; Fabales; Fabaceae.
UCCUAAAGUGCUUUAGCAUGCGAAUCAAUAACAACUACAUCAGGGGAAGACUAGAGGUUACUGUGUGGUACUGUAGACAACAGAUUUUAUGAGGUGUUACGCAGGUCCACCAUAAGGUUGUGAUCUUACGUGAUAAAAAUAGAUUUAUAUCUUUGUCUGAUGUACAGGUUAUGUUUUGACCCUUCCAAACUUUUUCAGAGGAAGUGUGUUGCACUGGUCUGUUUUCCUCAUCAGACUAGACUAUUUUCUUCUUUAUCUUUCCAAUCGAAGUCAUUUGUUUAUGGAGGAAGUGAGGACGAUGAUGAAGGAGGUGAGGUCGGUGAUACUCUAUGCGAUUAUGAGAGUGAUGUUGGAAGGAACUGCGAAGCCCAUUUUGAUGGAGCUUCAAGAGGAAAGGAGAAAAGGUUCCACAUGGUUGUGUCUAGCUUUCAGAUAAGAUAAAAGUGACGAUUGAGGAUUUAAGAGGGAAAACACUGGUCACUAAGCGGAAGCAGAGGUGGAGUUGAAGGAGGCAGUUCUAGCACAGCUUCCAUUGGCGCAAUUCGUGAUGGGGCUUUUCAGGGAGAGGAGCUAAUGGAGCUUUUUGUAAGAAGUGACUCAUUGAGAAAUGCGGGUAACAUAAAGGCGAAAGGGAUAAUUCUGGCUUCCGGUGGCAAAAUCCAUUGUAGGGCUUUUGUUUCUCCAUGUUUCAUUUGCCAUUCAAUCCAUGGUAGGAAGGUACUUCUGGUGGAGAGUGGAGGAGAAGUUCUACACUGAUGAUUGCAUCUAUCUCAUUUUCCCUUUUAAAGGUACUUCUUGAUGCAAGUCUUUUUUAGUUUAUUUCAAUCAGUUUCCUAAUAAUGAGGCUUUUCCAAUGUACUUCUUUAUGUUUUUUAUGCAAUUGUUUUGUUCAUAAUUGAUAGCAAGCAAUUUCUUUGAAGCAGUGUAUUUUCUCUUUUCCUGCAUGAAAUUUUUCCAAGCACAGUCUAGAGAGAAACACUUACACCAGCAUGAAUUUCUUCAAUAAUCAGCAUUGUAUUCUUCCCCGAGGUAUACUAUCUUGGACUGCCUAUCAUAAGUUCGACUUAUCAGUAUCAAUUGCUGGAAAUUGUCAUGAAUCAAGUGAAAAUACUCUUUUUAUAGAUGCAAAGUUGUGAUUCUCUGGUUUCUCUAGCUGAUAUUAGGGAGUCUGUUUGGUUCAAAAUCAUUGAAAGAUGAUAUUGAGGCAUUAGGUGGUUGUAGUUCAGUUAGGGAGAAAACACUGGAUGAUUCUUUGGUGCUGCGAAUCAGUGAAAGGAAGAUCCUUCAAUCGGAAAUUAUGCUUCAGUCAUAAAUCUAAGAUCACUAUUCAUAGGCCUGCAAGGAUGUUUUUGAAAAGGACAACAAAGAGAGUUGAUUAUCUUUUAUUCCAUUCUUCUUUAAUUGGCCACAUGUUGUAAUGUUAAUUUUCUUUACAUAUGUAUAUUUUCAUAGUAAUAUUGCAAAGGACAAGAAAAAUAUGUCAAUUUACCAGAUAAUUUGCACAUAUAAUUAAAUAUCCG